GAAGGCUAUGUUGGCCGGGCGACGGUUGUCCCGGUUUAAGCGUGUAGGUGUGUGUUCCAGGUAAAUCCGGUUCACUUUAACACUGAGGCGUGACGACGAGGCACUACGGUGCUGAAGCAACAAAUGCCCUGCUUCCAGGAAAAGCCUCUAAGCAUCAGGUAACAUCAAAUCGUACCCCAAACCGACACAGGUGGUCAGGUAGAGAAUACCAAGGCGCUUGAGAGAACUCGGGUGAAGGAACUAGGCAAAAUGGUGCCGUAACUUCGGGAGAAGGCACGCUGACACGUAGGUGAAGUGAUUUACUCAUGGAGCUGAAGUCAGUCGAAGAUACCAGCUGGCUGCAACUGUUUAUUAAAAACACAGCACUGUGCAAACACG
Molecule: ribosomal RNA, 378 nt
Filed under: Salmonella enterica subsp. enterica serovar Oslo
Lineage: Bacteria; Pseudomonadati; Pseudomonadota; Gammaproteobacteria; Enterobacterales; Enterobacteriaceae
Description: partial 23S ribosomal RNA
Rfam family: Bacterial large subunit ribosomal RNA
Source: RNAcentral